Molecule: ribosomal RNA, 448 nt
Filed under: uncultured bacterium
Lineage: Bacteria
Description: bacterial SSU rRNA
Rfam family: Bacterial small subunit ribosomal RNA
Source: RNAcentral
AACGAACGCUGGCGGCAGGCCUAACACAUGCAAGUCGAACGCCGUAGCAAUACGGAGUGGCAGACGGGUGAGUAACACGUGGGAACGUACCCUUCGGUUCGGGAUAACUCAGGGAAGCUUGAGCUAAUACCGGAUACGUCCGAGAGGAGAAAGAUUUAUUGCCGAGGGAUCGGCCCGCGUCUGAUUAGCUUGUUGGUGAGGUAACGGCUCACCAAGGCGACGAUCAGUAGCUGGCUGAGAGGAUGAUCAGCCACAUUGGGACUGAGACACGGCCCAAACUCCUACGGGAGGCAGCAGUGGGGAAUAUUGGACAAUGGGCGCAAGCCUGAUCCAGCCAUGCCGCGUGAGUGAUGAAGGCCCUAGGGUUGUAAAGCUCUUUUACCCGGGAAGAUAAUGACUGUACCGGGAGAAUAAGCCCCGCUAACUUCGUGCCAGCAGCCGCAGUAAG